GUCAAGCCCAAGUGCUAUAACCAAAGCGACGGGGAGCAAAACUCAACGGCGUGGUUUCUAAACUACCUGGGGAAGUACCUGUCGUACUGCAAUGUGGAGGAUCUCAGAGCCUUCAGCGACAGCCAGCAGCUGCUGCAAGACUUCGCGGUGGAUCCUCACAACCUGGCGCUGGUGGGGGGAGUCGCCCUCUCGGAGGACGUGAAGGAAUUCUACUCCGAGCUGAUCGCGCGGCAGAAUCCUCCCGUCGCACUGGGAAGCAUCCCAGACAAUUUGAUCUGCUAUGUGGUCCGCAAGC
Molecule: non-coding RNA, 295 nt
Organism: Pelodiscus sinensis (Chinese soft-shelled turtle)
Lineage: Eukaryota; Metazoa; Chordata; Testudines; Trionychidae
Source: RefSeq, a predicted model, not a curated record